Molecule: ribosomal RNA, 270 nt
Filed under: uncultured archaeon
Lineage: Archaea
Description: partial 16S ribosomal RNA
Rfam family: Archaeal small subunit ribosomal RNA
Source: RNAcentral
CUGCAGCUCAAGUGGUGAUCAUUAUUAUUGGGCCUAAAACGUCCGUAGCCGGUUUAGUAAAUGCCUGGGUAAAUCGUGUAGCUUAACUAUACGACUUCCGGGUAGACUGCUAAACUUGAGACCGGGAGAGGCUAGAGGUACUCCUGGGGUAGAGGUGAAAUUCUGUAAUCCUAGGGGGACCACCAGUGGCGAAGGCGUCUAGCUAGAACGGGUCUGACGGUGAGGGACGAAGCCCUGGGGCACAAACCGGAUUAGAUACCCGAGUAGUCC